UUGUGCAAGAAAUUGCAAUAAAAUAGUCUGCCUAAGAAAAAUUGAAUUUUUUUGAAAAUUUUUUUUUGACGAAAUUUGCUUUAAUGGUCGUAAAAAUGGUGUUCCUCUACUUGGAUUUGGCUGUCAAUUUUUUUCUACACUUUUAGGUGUAUUUUGUGCAAGAAAUUGCAAUAAAAUAGUCUGUCUAAGAAAAAUUGAAUUUUUUUGAAAAUUUUUUUUUGACGAAAAUCGAUUUAAUGGUCGUAAAAAUGGUGUUCCUCUACUUGGAUUUGGCUGUCAAUUUUUUUCUACACUUUUAGGUGUAUUUUGUGCAAGAAAUUGCAAUAAAAUAGUCUGCCUAAGAAAAAUUGAAUUUUUUUGAAAAUUUUUUUUUGACGAAAAUCGCUUUAAUGGUCGUAAAAAUGGUGUUCCUCGACUUGGAUUUGGCUGUCAAUUUUUUUCUACACUUUUAGGUGUAUUUUGUGCAAGAAAUUGCAAUAAAAUAGUCUGCCUAAGAAAAAUUGAAUUUUUUUGAAAAUUAUUUUUUGACGAAAAUCGCUUUAAUGGUCGUAAAAAUGGUGUUCCUCGACUUGGAUUUGGCUGUCAAUUUUUUUCUACACUUUCAGGUGUAUUUUGUGCAAGAAAUUGCAAUAAAAUAGUCUGUCUAAGAAAAAUUGAAUUUUUUUGAAAAUUUUUUUUUGACGAAAAUCGAUUUAAUGGUCGUAAAAAUGGUGUUCCUCUACUUGGAUUUGGCUGUCAAUUUUUUUCUACACUUUUAGGUGUAUUUUGUGCAAGAAAUUGCAAUAAAAUAGUCUGCCUAAAAAAAAUUGAAUUUUUUUGAAAAUUUUUUUUUGACGAAAUUUGCUUUAAUGGUCGUAAAAAUGGUGUUCCUCUACUUGGAUUUGGCUGUCAAUUUUUUUCUACACUUUUAGGUGUAUUUUGUGCAAGAAAUUGCAAUAAAAUAGUCUGCCUAAGAAAAAUUGAAUUUUUUUGAAAAUUUUUUUUUGACGAAAAUCGCUUUAUUGGUCAAAAAAGUGGUGUUCCUCUACUCGGAUCGGGCUGUCAAUUUUUUUCUACACUUUUAGGUGUAUUUUGUGCAAGAAAUUGCAAUAAAAUAGUCUGCCUAAGAAAAAUUGAAUUUUUUUGAAAAUUUUUUUUUGACGAAAAUCGCUUUAAUGGUCGUAAAAAUGGUGUUCCUCUACUUGGAUUUGGCUGUCAAUUUUUUUCUACACUUUUAGGUGUAUUUUGUGCAAGAAAUUGCAAUAAAAUAGUCUGCCUAAGAAAAAUUGAAUUUUUUUGAAAAUUUUUUUUUGACGAAAAUCGCUUUAAUGGUCGUAAAAAUGGUGUUCCUCGACUUGGAUUUGGCUGUCAAUUUUUUUCUACACUUUUAGGUGUAUUUUGUGCAAGAAAUUGCAAUAAAAUAGUCUGCCUAAGAAAAAUUGAAUUUUUUUGAAAAUUUUUUUUUGACGAAAAUCGCUUUAAUGGUCGUAAAAAUGGUGUUCCUCUACUUGGAUUUGGCUGUCAAUUUUUUUCUACACUUUUAGGUGUAUUUUGUGCAAGAAAUUGCAAUAAAAUAGUCUGCCUAAGAAAAAUUGAAUUUUUUUGAAAAUUUUUUUUUGACGAAAAUCGCUUUAAUGGUCGUAAAAAUGGUGUUCCUCUACUUGGAUUUGGCUGUCAAUUUUUUUCUACACUUUUAGGUGUAUUUUGUGCAAGAAAUUGCAAUAAAAUAGUCUGCCUAAGAAAAAUUGAAUUUUUUUGAAAAUUUUUUUUUGACGAAAAUCGCUUUAUUGGUCAAAAAAGUGGUGUUCCUCUACUCGGAUCGGGCUGUCAAUUUUUUUCUACACUUUUAGGUGUAUUUUGUGCAAGAAAUUGCAAUAAAAUAGUCUGCCUAAGAAAAAUUGAAUUUUUUUGAAAAUUUUUUUUUGACGAAAAUCGCUUUAAUGGUCGUAAAAAUGGUGUUCCUCUACUUGGAUUUGGCUGUCAAUUUUUUUCUACACUUUUAGGUGUAUUUUGUGCAAGAAAUUGCAAUAAAAUAGUCUGCCUAAGAAAAAUUGAAUUUUUUUGAAAAUUUUUUUUUGACGAAAAUCGCUUUAUUGGUCAAAAAAGUGGUGUUCCUCUACUCGGAUCGGGCUGUCAAUUUUUUUCUACACUUUUAGGUGUAUUUUGUGCAAGAAAUUGCAAUAAAAUAGUCUGCCUAAGAAAAAUUGAAUUUUUUUGAAAAUUUUUUUUUGACGAAAAUCGCUUUAAUGGUCGUAAAAAUGGUGUUCCUCGACUUGGAUUUGGCUGUCAAUUUUUUUCUACACUUUUAGGUGUAUUUUGUGCAAGAAAUUGCAAUAAAAUAGUCUGCCUAAGAAAAAUUGAAUUUUUUUGAAAAUUUUUUUUUGACGAAAAUCGCUUUAAUGGUCGUAAAAAUGGUGUUCCUCUACUUGGAUUUGGCUGUCAAUUUUUUUCUACACUUUUAGGUGUAUUUUGUGCAAGAAAUUGCAAUAAAAUAGUCUGCCUAAGAAAAAUUGAAUUUUUUUGAAAAUUUUUUUUUGACGAAAAUCGCUUUAAUGGUCGUAAAAAUGGUGUUCCUCUACUUGCAUUUGGCUGUCAAUUUUUUUCUACACUUUUAGGUGUAUUUUGUGCAAGAAAUUGCAAUAAAAUAGUCUGCCUAAGAAAAAUUGAAUUUUUUUGAAAAUUUUUUUUUGACGAAAAUCGCUUUAAUGGUCAAAAAAUGGUGUUCCUCUACUCGGAUCGGGCUGUCAAUUUUUUUCUACACUUUUAGGUGUAUUUUGUGCAAGAAAUUGCAAUAAAAUAGUCUGCCUAAGAAAAAUUGAAUUUUUUUGAAAAUUUUUUUUUGACGAAAAUCGCUUUAUUGGUCAAAAAAGUGGUGUUCCUCUACUCGGAUCGGGCUGUCAAUUUUUUUCUACACUUUUAGGUGUAUUUUGUGCAAGAAAUUGCAAUAAAAUAGUCUGCCUAAGAAAAAUUGAAUUUUUUUGAAAAUUUUUUUUUGACGAAAAUCGCUUUAAUGGUCAUAAAAAUGGUGUUCCUCUACUCGGAUCGGGCUGUCAAUUUUUUUCUACACUUUUAGGUGUAUUUUGUGCAAGAAAUUGCAAUAAAAUAGUCUGCCUAAGAAAAAUUGAAUUUUUUUGAAAAUUUUUUUUUGACGAAAAUCGCUUUAAUGGUCGUAAAAAUGGUGUUCCUCGACUUGGAUUUGGCUGUCAAUUUUUUUCUACACUUUUAGGUGUAUUUUGUGCAAGAAAUUGCAAUAAAAUAGUCUGCCUAAGAAAAAUUGAAUUUUUUUGAAAAUUUUUUUUUGACGAAAAUCGCUUUAAUGGUCGUAAAAAUGGUGUUCCUCUACUUGGAUUUGGCUGUCAAUUUUUUUCUACACUUUUAGGUGUAUUUUGUGCAAGAAAUUGCAAUAAAAUAGUCUGCCUAAGAAAAAUUGAAUUUUUUUGAAAAUUUUUUUUUGACGAAAAUCGCUUUAAUGGUCGUAAAAAUGGUGUUCCUCUACUUGGAUUUGGCUGUCAAUUUUUUUCUACACUUUUAGGUGUAUUUUGUGCAAGAAAUUGCAAUAAAAUAGUCUGCCUAAGAAAAAUUGAAUUUUUUUGAAAAUUUUUUUUUGACGAAAAUCGCUUUAAUGGUCAUAAAAAUGGUGUUCCUCUACUCGGAUCGGGCUGUCAAUUUUUUUCUACACUUUUAGGUGUAUUUUGUGCAAGAAAUUGCAAUAAAAUAGUCUGCCUAAGAAAAAUUGAAUUUUUUUGAAAAUUUUUUUUUGACGAAAAUCGCUUUAAUGGUCAUAAAAAUGGUGUUCCUCUACUCGGAUCGGGCUGUCAAUUUUUUUCUACACUUUUAGGUGUAUUUUGUGCAAGAAAUUGCAAUAAAAUAGUCUGCCUAAGAAAAAUUGAAUUUUUUUGAAAAUUUUUUUUUGACGAAAAUCGCUUUAAUGGUCGUAAAAAUGGUGUUCCUCUACUCGGAUCGGGCUGUCAAUUUUUUUCUACACUAUUAGGUGUAUUUUGUGCAAGAAAUUGCAAUAAAAUAGUCUGCCUAAGAAAAAUUGAAUUUUUUUGAAAAUUUUUUUUUGACGAAAAUCGCUUUAAUGGUCGUAAAAAUGGUGUUCCUCUACUCGGAUCGGGCUGUCAAUUUUUUUCUACACUAUUAGGUGUAUUUUGUGCAAGAAAUUGCAAUAAAAUAGUCUGCCUAAGAAAAAUUGAAUUUUUUUGAAAAUUUUUUUUUGACGAAAAUCGCUUUAAUGGUCGUAAAAAUGGUGUUCCUCUACUCGGAUCGGGCUGUCAAUUUUUUUCUACACUAUUAGGUGUAUUUUGUGCAAAAAAUUGCAAUAAAAUAGUCUGCCUAAGAAAAAUUGAAUUUUUUUGAAAAUUUUUUUUUGACGAAAAUCGCUUUAAUGGUCGUAAAAAUGGUGUUCCUCUACUUGGAUUUGGCUGUCAAUUUUUUUCUACACUUUUAGGUGUAUUUUGUGCAAGAAAUUGCAAUAAAAUAGUCUGCCUAAGAAAAAUUGAAUUUUUUUGAAAAUUUUUUUUUGACGAAAAUCGCUUUAAUGGUCGUAAAAAUGGUGUUCCUCGACUUGGAUUUGGCUGUC
Molecule: long non-coding RNA, 4561 nt
Organism: Leptopilina boulardi
Lineage: Eukaryota; Metazoa; Arthropoda; Insecta; Hymenoptera; Figitidae
Exons: 8
Source: RefSeq, a predicted model, not a curated record